RNAcentral lists this non-coding RNA (631 nucleotides) under Halosimplex carlsbadense 2-9-1. Its description in RNAcentral is "Archaeal large subunit ribosomal RNA". It matches the Rfam family "Archaeal large subunit ribosomal RNA", at positions 1436 to 2064 of the family's 2987-position model. The record is from Rfam by way of RNAcentral. Lineage: Archaea; Methanobacteriati; Methanobacteriota; Halobacteria; Halobacteriales; Haloarculaceae.
AGGGUUCCUCAGCACUGUUCGUCAGCUGAGGGUUAGCCGGUCCUAAGUCUCACCGUAAUUCGAAUGAGACGAAAUGGGAAGCAGGUUAAUAUUCCUGCGCCAUCGUUCAUUGAAAGUCGACGCCUUGGGGUAGACCGAGCCGGGCCAUCGCCCGGUCGAACCGUCCAACUCCGUGGAAGCCGUAAUGGCACGAAGCGGACGAACGGCGGGAUAGAGCAAUUCGGUUCAACCUGGGGCCCGUGAAAAGACGAGAACGAUGUCCGUACCGAGCACCGACACAGGUGCCCAUGGCGGAGAAAGCCUAGGCCUGUCGGGAACAACCGACGUUAGGGAAUUCGGCAAUCUAGUCCCGUACCUUCGGAAGAAGGGAUGCCUGCCUCGGGAAGAGGCAGGUCGCAGUGACUNUUACAGAGCAAUUGUGUAGGUCGGCGUUCUGAUCGGGUGGAAGCACGGCCGAGAGUUCGUGUGGACCGAUUUGAAACGAAAAUCCUGGUCACAGUAGCAGCGAAAGUCGGGUUGAAAUCCUGACGGCCAAAAGGGCAAGGGUUCCUCAGCACUGUUCGUCAGCUGAGGGUUAGCCGGUCCUAAGUCUCACCGUAAUUCGAAUGAGACGAAAUGGGAAGCAGGUUAA